RNAcentral lists this ribosomal RNA (546 nucleotides) under Enterococcus durans. Its description in RNAcentral is "bacterial SSU rRNA". It matches the Rfam family "Bacterial small subunit ribosomal RNA", at positions 1 to 522 of the family's 1533-position model. Lineage: Bacteria; Bacillati; Bacillota; Bacilli; Lactobacillales; Enterococcaceae. The record is from RNAcentral.
UGGAGAGUUUGAUCCUGGCUCAGGACGAACGCUGGCGGCGUGCCUAAUACAUGCAAGUCGUACGCUUCUUUUUCCACCGGAGCUUGCUCCACCGGAAAAAGAAGAGUGGCGAACGGGUGAGUAACACGUGGGUAACCUGCCCAUCAGAAGGGGAUAACACUUGGAAACAGGUGCUAAUACCGUAUAACAAUCGAAACCGCAUGGYUUUGAUUUGAAAGGCGCUUUCGGGUGUCGCUGAUGGAUGGACCCGCGGUGCAUUAGCUAGUUGGUGAGGUAACGGCUCACCAAGGCYACGAUGCAUAGCCGACCUGAGAGGGUGAUCGGCCACAUUGGGACUGAGACACGGCCCAAACUCCUACGGGAGGCAGCAGUAGGGAAUCUUCGGCAAUGGACGAAAGUCUGACCGAGCAACGCCGCGUGAGUGAAGAAGGUUUUCGGAUCGUAAAACUCUGUUGUUAGAGAAGAACAAGGAUGAGAGUAACUGUUCAUCCCUUGACGGUAUCUAACCAGAAAGCCACGGCUAACUACGUGCCAGCAGCCGCGGUA